GUCUUGGACAUAGAGGCUGAGAGAGAACUUUACAUUUUCCAGUAUGAAGAGCUGUGGCUCUCCCAGGCGUGAGCAGAGUAACUCUAGGUCUGGUGGUGUGGGGUGGUAGGCACAGUCUACCCUGUUUCACCAGAUCUCCCUCCAGCUGGAGACACUAUUCAGAGUCAGCCUUCCAGCUACCCCAGAACCUGCCCACAUCUCUGGCAUAGUGGGUGUGAGGCAGAGCGCUUUAGUUUGCUGAUAAGGGAAGCACAUGACCUCUUCCUCAGAGAACGCGUUACCACUAACCAACUCUGACCAAGAGGAAGAAAGUGUAAAGGACUUAACAUGGCCACAGACGCCCAUCUCCAAUGUAGGAAUCUCACGCCUGCCCCCGGGCCCACUGGUCUCUGGCCUCUAGUAAAUGAUUGUUUCUUAUUUCUAGGUUUUUAUCAAGGAAAAGCCAGUGAGAUUACCUGACGGCGAGUAAGCCAGGUGUUCCUGACGGGGUCCUCAGAUCUACCAUCGCCUGCUAGCCUGACCCCUCAGACUGUCCCCCUUGUGAACAAAGGACGGACUGGUGCACAGUAGCCCUGUGGAUCCGUGCAUCCCAGGUGAAGCCUGCUACUUUGGCAGAAGACAAAGCUCAGCUCUGCUCACCUGGAGGGUCCAGGUUACCGAAGACCCUUUAAAAUUAAAAGUCACCAGGAGAACCGAAGAUGUACUGUCUCCUGACAAUUGUGCGACAGGAAGCUCUUGUGCUUCGUUUCUAUCCAGACAGAGGCCUGUGCCUGGAAUGGCUUGGCCUCCUGGAGGUCCCUGGCCGUCUCCCUACAAACAGAUGGUGACUAGGAUCUAUGCUUGCGGUGGAGGUGACUUCUGUGUUCUAGCCUUGGUGAUCUUAGCAACUUUAAGCCUGUCAACAAUAAUCUAAUUUUAAGAAUAUAGCAGUGUGGGAAGAUGGUCAUGUACCUUUAGAUGUCUCAGGAACUGAAAGUUCAGAGACGGAAACGUCUCACACCAUCAUGAUCCUGAUAAACUCAAUGGCUGCGAUGAAUACAACUGCUGCACCCAUUAGUUCCCAGCAAAUAGGAGAGAAAUUAAUUGCAGUUACUAACAACAUGACUGUUCCAGAAAAGCCUUUCCCCCCUUUUGGGAAAGUUUUGUUUAGCAUGAUUCAGAAUAGUAGUGACUCUUAGAAAGAUCAUAGACAAGUUCCAACAAGCUGAGCAAACUUCUCAAGAGUUAACUAUGGUUAUUUAAACUAUUGUUUGCAGUUGAGAACUGUUUCCUAGACUGUAUGUUUAGCUUUCCUUUUUGCCGGGGACACUUGGUGGGGUGAUGAAUAAGAGCUGGAUGAUUGCCAAUUGUGAUGUACCUGUUCUAACUGCUUAAAUCUAUGCCAAGAAGUAAAGCUUUUUACAGCUGCAC
This 1410-nucleotide long non-coding RNA is filed under the name Rattus norvegicus (Norway rat). RNAcentral's name for it is "long non-coding RNA NONRATT021116". Lineage: Eukaryota; Metazoa; Chordata; Mammalia; Rodentia; Muridae. The record is from RNAcentral.